Molecule: ribosomal RNA, 352 nt
Filed under: Buthus sp. A DP-2013
Lineage: Eukaryota; Metazoa; Arthropoda; Arachnida; Scorpiones; Buthidae
Description: partial 16S ribosomal RNA
Source: RNAcentral
CAUAAUCAUUAGUCUUUUAAUUUGAGACUGGAAUGAAAGAGUAAACCAGGAGAAUUUUUUUUUAUCUAAAAAAAUGAAUUUUACUUUUUAGUAAAAAGGCUAAAAUAUUUCUUUUAGACAAGAAGACCCUAUAAAACUUUAUAUUUUCUUCUAUUAAUUNNNGAGGGGAAAAGUAUUUUGCUGGGGCGGUAGGAAAAAGNANNUCUUUUCUUAAAAAGAAGAACGGACUUGUUUAAAUAACUAGAAUUUCUAAAAUAGAAAUAAGUUACUUUAGGGAUAACGACUUAAUUCACUUAGAAAGUUCUAAUUGACAAGUGAGUUUAUGACCUCGAUGUUGAAUUAAAAUUCCUUU